UCUCUCUUGAUCCCAAAGGACAAAGAGGAAAAGAUAGAACCAGAAAUAAGGCCCAGUCUUGUACAAAUAAGUACCAAAUAAGGGUUUUUGUAAUAGAUGUCCUUUUCAUUUGUCUUACAAGUGGGCAGUGUCUGAGCGGACUGAAGUGUUCCCAGGUGUUGGGCACUUGGGGGUCCAUGAGGACUGCCUGUGCUCUCAUCUGGGCCUUUAGGAACGGAUCCAGCUUUCAAUACAUUGUCGGCUGUUCCUGUGACAGAUCUCAUCUACAAUAGGUGGCUUUGAAAGUUUAAGUCCCUCAUCAAAGGUGGAAAUGUCCUUGGAUCUGCCCCAGCCAAAGGCCGGAAAUGAAAAUGGGAAGUUCUGGAUUCUGUCAUGGUUUCUCCUAAUCUCUCUUCCCCUAAUGAUUUGUCCUUUCCUGGCCCUGGGAUUGGCUCCUUCUAAACUUCCGUACUUGCAAAGGUGCCAACCAGAAGGACUUGGAAGCCUAUGCUAGUUUGGAGCAUGCAAGAAUUUUCCUAAAAAUCUUUCCAGAAAUCUACUCUCUGUCAACACUACACUACAAUAUUGAAAAUGUAAGCAGACGUAUGGCCUCUCCCCAUCUCCCACUCUGCGACCUGCAGAUGAGGGAAAGCUUCAGCCAGAUUGGGAUUAAAAGACUCCUCUUUACUCUUGUGAUCAAAGCACACUACCAGCCACAAGCCGUGUCAGCAUCGCACCCUCCCGAUUCAGCCUGCUGACCGUUUGCCCAACAUUACUUCCACCGGAUUCUUAUAAAAUGUACAACCUACAUCUAACCGUGAGAAACAUCAAACCAACUCAGACUGGAGAACUGUCUAUAAAGGAGCUGUCAAGCCUCGACGUGAUGAAAGGCAAGAAAAGAAGUGUCACAGAGGAUGGAAAGCAGGACCUGGAGACACAAAUGUGUCAUUCCUGAAAAACGGGUUAAAAGCUCACAGAGGACCCACAGUUUGAUACAUGGCUUUUUACCCUAGUAAAUGUCAUUGUCUAGAUCAUUGUCUGCAGUUACAUCAUAGGAUGUUAACACUAGGGGAUCCUUGUAAAGGUAUUCGGGAACUCUUGUACCAUCGUUCAGAUGGCCUGAAAUUAUUUCAAAAUAAAUAGUUUGAGCCAGG
This 1133-nucleotide long non-coding RNA is filed under the name Cricetulus griseus (Chinese hamster). Its description in RNAcentral is "lncRNA (ENSCGRG00015039030.1)". Lineage: Eukaryota; Metazoa; Chordata; Mammalia; Rodentia; Cricetidae. The record is from RNAcentral.